Molecule: long non-coding RNA, 222 nt
Filed under: Carica papaya (papaya)
Lineage: Eukaryota; Viridiplantae; Streptophyta; Magnoliopsida; Brassicales; Caricaceae
Description: long non-coding RNA (CPAP_LNC001621)
Source: RNAcentral
UUUUUGCAAAACAUCCCUCUCAUUUUGCAUUAAGGAUGCUUUAUUUUUGGGUGGAGCAAAUUAUUGUUUACAAUAUCCCACACAAGCAAACUUAAUGUAAUAGGGCCUUAGAGCAUGCAAAAAAAGCCAAAAUUUCUGAUGCAAUUCAAAAAGACUGUAUGCACUAGCAUGAGAAACAAGACUACAAUAAACAAGCAAACCAUGAGUUAUUUACAGUUCCUU